UUCCAGACUCCUACGGGAGGCAGCAGUGGGGAAUAUUGCACAAUGGGGGAAACCCUGAUGCAGCGACGCCGCGUGAGCGAUGAAGUAUUUCGGUAUGUAAAGCUCUAUCAGCAGGGAAGAAAAUGACGGUACCUGACUAAGAAGCCCCGGCUAACUACGUGCCAGCAGCCGCGGUAAUACGUAGGGGGCAAGCGUUAUCCGGAUUUACUGGGUGUAAAGGGGGCGCAGACGGCAGCGCAAGCCAGGAGUGAAAGCCCGGGGCGCAGCCCCGGGACUGCUCUUGGAACUGCGCGGCUGGAGUGCAGGAGGGGCAGGCGGAAUUCCUGGUGUAGCGGUGAAAUGCGUAGAUAUCAGGAGGAACACCGGUGGCGAAGGCGGCCUGCUGGACUGCGACUGACGUUGAGGCCCGAAAGCGUGGGGAGCAAACAGGAUUAGAUACCCGGGUAAU
This 448-nucleotide ribosomal RNA is filed under the name uncultured bacterium. RNAcentral describes it as "bacterial SSU rRNA". It matches the Rfam family "Bacterial small subunit ribosomal RNA", at positions 329 to 794 of the family's 1533-position model. The record is from RNAcentral.